GCUUGUAUGGCGCAGUAGGUAGCGCAACUCAUUCGUAAUGAGUAGGUCAUCGGUUCGAAUCCGAUUACAAGCU
Molecule: transfer RNA, 73 nt
Filed under: Lachnospiraceae bacterium
Lineage: Bacteria; Bacillati; Bacillota; Clostridia; Lachnospirales; Lachnospiraceae
Also listed under: 1 other name
Description: tRNA-Thr
Rfam family: tRNA
About the family: Transfer RNA (tRNA) molecules are approximately 80 nucleotides in length.
Source: RNAcentral